Molecule: ribosomal RNA, 486 nt
Filed under: uncultured bacterium
Lineage: Bacteria
Description: partial 16S ribosomal RNA
Rfam family: Bacterial small subunit ribosomal RNA
Source: RNAcentral
AUUGAACGCUGGCGGCAUGCCUUACACAUGCAAGUCGAACGGCAGCACGGGUGCUUGCACCUGGUGGCGAGUGGCGCACGGGUGAGUAAUACAUCGGAACAUGUCCUGUAGUGGGGGAUAGCCCGGCGAAAGCCGGAUUAAUACCGCCUACGAUCUACGGAUGAAAGCGGGGGACCUUCUGGCCUCGCGCUAUACGGUUGGCCGAUGGCUGAUUAGCUAGUUGGUGGGGUAAAGGCCUACCAAGGCGACGAUCAGUAGCUGGUCUGAGAGGACGACCAGCCACACUGGGACUGAGACACGGCCCAGACUCCUACGGGAGGCAGCAGUGGGGAAUUUUGGACAAUGGGCGAAAGCCUGAUCCAGCAAUGCCGCGUGUGUGAAGAAGGCCUUCGGGUUGUAAAGCACUUUUGUCCGGAAAGAAAUACUUGGCCCUAAUACGGUCGGGGGAUGACGGUACCGGAAGAAUAAGCACCGGCUAACUACGUG